GUAAAAUAUAUUUUUAGGGACUCAUCUUUCUUUAUUUUCAUCAUUUGGGGACUCACCUUUUAUUUUUCAUCAUUUGGGGAUCGACGGUGGAAAAGUGGUUAUUUUCCGGAGAUAGAAAAUACAAGUUAGAGCAGACUCCUGACUCUUGGACGACCCUAAGAGAAAUUCAUGAAUUAUCUCCAUUCUCUUUCAAAGAACAUACGCUAAUCUCAGCCAGGUACUUAGGUUGUUGCAAUGGAACCAAAACCAUGCAUUGUUGUUCAUCACGGUGGAUGUUGGAAAUCAGUUCAUGGCGGUAUGGGAUACGAGGGAAAUCUAUUGUUGAUGGUAUUAGGUUCCUUGGAUAUGAUUAUGGGGGAGAACAAACUUUGCGGUCAACAACAAUAAUGAAUGACAAUGCUCAAUUACCAUCACAAUCAACACAAAAUAGUGUUACUUCCUCUAAUCAUAGCUUUAUUGCUCCAAACGGAAGAAAUUAUAUAUACUCUAAGGCAUUACAGGAUUUGGCUAACAAAAAUAGAGGCCACUACAACCGAGAUUGAUCAGAAGGUGCAAAAGAUUUUAAAGUCCAGGUAAAUUCAUUUCUCUACUUAUAAGCUAGACAAUACUACUUUGCUAAAUGUGUAAAAUGACUCAUCACUUUGGAGCUGGGAUUACCUGAUAUGGGAUUACUAGAGCAGCAUCUAUAUGGCUUCUGUUAUCUUGUCUCGUUUUUUUUUUUUUUUUUUUAAUUUUUUAAAAAAAGUAGCCUAUGUAAAUGCAUUCACAAGGUGCUCAAACUCUCAAAUUACCUUGUUGUCUAAUGCUUCGAUCUUUUUUUUUUGGUAUAGUACUAUGUGUCUAUGCCUUCUCAUGGAGCUGAUUAUUUCUCAUUUUUAUCUUGAAUAUUAGAGGUUCAGAUGCUAUAUAUUGUCAUUAAUAUUUCGUUCCAAUAUUUCUUUAAUUACAUUCAAUAUAAUCAUUGUCACUUAACUAGCUGCAAAAUCUUCAUGAUCUUCCGGUACAUGCAUGCUGCAUUUCACAUGCAAUAUCUUCCCAACAAGCUAGCUGAUUCUAAUCGAGAAUGUCAAAGUUUUUGAGUGAAAUUUUGUAAUCUUACGACCUAUGGUAGUUCUAUAUACUUAAGUUAAUUAGUUAUAUAGUAUGGAGUACUAAAUAACAUUAAACAAUUAAAGAAAGACAAGUAUUUACCCAUGAAACUAGUUGCAAUUUUUUGGGGCUAUUUUGUGGUUACUAAUUUCAGUGGUCAUAUUAUGACCGGAAUUUGCAGUACAGUUUAAUCUUCAUAAAAAUUGUAUUUUGUUUUUAUUUUUUAUUUUGUAAUUAAAUAUUGUAUUUAUUUU
Molecule: long non-coding RNA, 1343 nt
Organism: Spinacia oleracea (spinach)
Lineage: Eukaryota; Viridiplantae; Streptophyta; Magnoliopsida; Caryophyllales; Amaranthaceae
Exons: 5
Source: RefSeq, a predicted model, not a curated record